UAAAUUACCAGCAGCUGCCAACUUAAGAGAAGUACGCCCAAUAGUAAUUCCAUUGCUCUAUCACAAACAGUAACCCAUUCUUAACUGCCGGCGAGGUUUCCAGUUCAGGUCCAGUUGCCGGCAACUUUUCAGUUUAAUAAGCUGUUCAAUCGCUGAGCACACUGCUUUAACUACAGAUUUACCCAAUACAGAGGUAAUUCAAAGCUAUGGCUUCCAAGGUAUCCAUCAUUUCAACAUGGACGGUUGAAGCUGCUGGAAGAAGUCAGCACCAUACAGAUAAUUGUAAGAUUAUUGAGUUGACACCAUGGGACAUUCUUGAGCUUCAAAUUGACUACUUUCAAACUGGACUUCUCUUCCUUAUGCCUACAUUUGAACAAUAAAGAAAUAUAUCAAAAGCAACCAACACCAGUUCCUUAAUUGAUCAUCUUAGAGUUUCACUAUCUCGAGCUUUAGAUUUCUUCCCUCCAUUCUGUGGCCGCCUUGACACAACCAAAGACGAGCAAAAUGGCACCACUUCUUUCUUCAUAAAUUGUAACAAUGAUGGUGCUCAACUCAACCAUGCAACCGCACAUGGUAUUAGAGUCAGUGACAUCGUGGAGUCAGAUUACAAUCCUUACGUGGUACGUGAUUUCUUCCCAUUAAAUGGAGUCCAAAAUCUAGAGGCUACCUCCCAGCCCUGUUUUGCAGUGCAAGUAACAGAGCUAGAGGAUGGCGUAUUCAUUGGCUGCUCAAACAAUCAUGUGGUAGUGGACGGAACUUCUUUUUGGCAUUUUUACAAUUCUUGGACUGAGAUAUCUCGCGGUUUUAAUGUCAUCUCAAAACUUCCUUUUUUGAAACGUCAAUUCCCUUUCAAUAUUAAUCAUUUCUCUGAUCGCAUUUCUAUACCAAAUGAAAGAGUUAAUGCAGGUCAUAGAUUCAUUCCACCACCAAUGCUACGAGAAAGGGUAUUUCAUUUUGCCAAAGAAAGUGUAGCCAAGUUAAAAGCAAAGGCCAAUCUUGAAAUGAGCACCACCAAAAUUUCGUCUCUUCAAGCUGUAUUGGCUCACGUAUGGAGAUCUGUAAUACGUUGUCGUCGUCUUGAUCUUAGUGAAGAAACUACCUUUGAGGUAUCCAUUGACAUGAGGGAAAGAUUGAAUCCUCCUUUACCCGAAGGGUUCUUUGGAAAUGCAAUUUGCCCUGCUACCGUGACCAUCAAGACGGGAGAGCUACUUGAGCACAAAUUCGGAUGGGCUGCUUUACAAAUUAAUGAGACGAUUGCUUCCCAUGACCAUGAAAAGUUGAAGUGCAUAUACGAGAGUUGGAUGAAUGACCCUGAGGUAGUAAAAUUGUUGGACGAACAACAAAAAUUGGGUGACUUGCCAAGCAAUUACUUUAUGCUGAACAACUCUCCCCGAUUCUAUUUUUACAAGUAUGAUUUUGGAUGGGGAAAGCCGAUUACGCAUAGCAGUGGUAUUGGAAACAUGCUAAAGGGGAAAAUAACAGUGUCACCUGGACAAGCAGAAGGGAGUAUGAUUCUUGAGAUUUGCCUUUCUUCAGAGACGUUACAAGCAUUGGAAGAAGAUGUAAUAUUUGGGGAGUUUGUGACCACACCAGUUGUUGGUUUGGAACCUACAAUUCGAGCUCGUAUUUAAAUGCUUCUUAUGGUAUUUAUUACUGUUAGAUUGUAUAUAUGCAUGUAUAAUGAGAAAAAUAUGAUGUUAAAAUAUGUUGCAGGCUUCUU
Solanum stenotomum is the source of this 1720-nucleotide RNA transcript. RefSeq lists it as uncharacterized. The transcript is spliced from 3 exons. NCBI's taxonomy places the organism in Eukaryota, Viridiplantae, Streptophyta, Magnoliopsida, Solanales, Solanaceae. The record is from RefSeq and is a predicted model, not a curated record.